GAUGAACGCUGGCGGCGUGCCUAAUACAUGCAAGUCGAGCGAACAGACGAGGAGCUUGCUCCUCUGACGUUAGCGGCGGACGGGUGAGUAACACGUGGAUAACCUACCUAUAAGACUGGGAUAACUUCGGGAAACCGGAGCUAAUACCGGAUAAUAUAUUGAACCGCAUGGUUCAAUAGUGAAAGACGGUUUUGCUGUCACUUAUAGAUGGAUCCGCGCCGCAUUAGCUAGUUGGUAAGGUGACGGCUUACCAAGGCAACGAUGCGUAGCCGACCUGAGAGGGUGAUCGGCCACACUGGAACUGAGACACGGUCUAGACUCCUACGGGAGGCAGCAGUAGGGAAUCUUCCGCAAAGGGCGAAAGCCUGACGGAGCAACGCCGCGUGAGUGAUGAAGGUCUUCGGAUCGUAAAACUCUGUUAUUAGGGAAGAACAAAUGUGUAAGUAACUAUGCACGUCUUGACGGUACCUAAUCAGAAAGCCACGGCUAACUACGUG
RNAcentral lists this ribosomal RNA (497 nucleotides) under uncultured bacterium. RNAcentral's name for it is "partial 16S ribosomal RNA". It matches the Rfam family "Bacterial small subunit ribosomal RNA", at positions 28 to 507 of the family's 1533-position model. The record is from RNAcentral.